AGAGUUUGAUCAUGGCUCAGGACGAACGCUGGCGGCGUGCUUAACACAUGCAAGUCGAACGGAAAGGCCCUUCGGGGUACUCGAGUGGCGAACGGGUGAGUAACACGUGGGUGAUCUGCCCUGCACUUUGGGAUAAGCCUGGGAAACUGGGUCUAAUACCGAAUAUGACCAUGCACUUCCUGGUGUGUGGUGGAAAGCUUUUGCGGUGUGGGAUGGGCCCGCGGCCUAUCAGCUUGUUGGUGGGGUAAUGGCCUACCAAGGCGACGACGGGUAGCCGGCCUGAGAGGGUGACCGGCCACACUGGGACUGAGAUAUGGCCCAGACUCCUACGGGAGGCAGCAGUGGGGAAUAUUGCACAAUGGGCGCAAGCCUGAUGCAGCGAUGCCGCGUGAGGGAUGACGGCCUUCGGGUUGUAAACCUCUUUCAGCACAGACGAAGCGCAAGUGACGGUAUGUGCAGAAGAAGGACCGGCCAACUACGUGCCAGCAGCCGCGGUAAUACGUAGGGUCCGAGCGUUGUCCGGAAUUACUGGGCGUAAAGAGCUCGUAGGUGGUUUGUCGCGUUGUUCGUGAAAACUCACAGCUUAACUGUGGGCGUGCGGGCGAUACGGGCAGACUUGAGUACUGCAGGGGAGACUGGAAUUCCUGGUGUAGCGGUGGAAUGCGCAGAUAUCAGGAGGAACACCGGUGGCGAAGGCGGGUCUCUGGGCAGUAACUGACGCUGAGGAGCGAAAGCGUGGGGAGCGAACAGGAUUAGAUACCCCGGUAGUCC
Molecule: ribosomal RNA, 771 nt
Filed under: uncultured bacterium
Lineage: Bacteria
Description: bacterial SSU rRNA
Rfam family: Bacterial small subunit ribosomal RNA
Source: RNAcentral